Mus pahari (shrew mouse) is the source of this 875-nucleotide RNA transcript. It is a transcript of the gene named calcineurin B homologous protein 3 pseudogene, with no coding region annotated. The transcript has a single exon. NCBI's taxonomy places the organism in Eukaryota, Metazoa, Chordata, Mammalia, Rodentia, Muridae. The record is from RefSeq and is a predicted model, not a curated record.
CCAGGGAGCCCGAGCCCUUCCACUGAGCGCCUGAGGUCGUUCCGAGCACACCGGGCACCAUGGGCGCCUCACUUUCGUUCGAGGAGGAGUGGGAGCGCGAGAGCAGGACCGACUUAUGGUGGGCGCACAUCCAGGAGGUGAUGAAGAAGUGCGACUUCAGCUGGGAGCAGAUCAAGCAGCUGCACCAGAGGUUCAGGCUGCUGAGCGGGGACCAGCCCACCCUACAGCCAGAGAGCUUCGACAACGUCCUGGACUUGGAGUUCAACCCGAUCCGCUCCAGGAUCAUCCACGCCUUCUUCGACAACCGGAACCUGGGCAAAGGGACCAGCGGUCUGGCGGAGGAGAUCACCUUCCAGGACUUCCUGACCAUCAUCUCCUACUUUCGGCCGCUGCGGCCCAGUCUCAACAAAGAGGAGGCGGAGCAGAACCGUAAAGAGAAGAUGCGGUUCCUCUUCAACAUGUACGACCAGGACUGCGAUGGGAUCAUCACCCUGCAGGAGUACCGCCGGGUGGUGGAGGACCUGCUGUCGGCGAACCCGCAGGUGGACAGAGACACUGUGCGCUCCGUCGCCAGUGCCAUCGCCCAGGGCGCCUUGAAGGAGGCAUCCAGGGCGUCCGACCAGCCGCUGAUGGAGGGCCAGUUGUAUGAGGGCAUCACUUUCGAGGACUUCAUCAAGACCUGGAAGAGCCUCGAACUGGAGGUCAAGAUGCAAGUCAGCUUCCUGAACCUAGAAGCCACGGUCUUAUGCCAGUGACCUGCAGGCUGCUGCACCCUCACUGGAGAAGCUGCCCCUUGAAUCCGGCAGACCCUUGCAGCAGCUACGGGCGGGGUACGUGGGACUUGAUGGAUUUCAUCGCUCAGAAUAAAGAGAUCA